UACGUAGGGUGCGAGCGUUAAUCGGAAUUACUGGGCGUAAAGUGUGCGCAGGUGGCCGCGCAAGUCGAGUGUGAAAGCCCCGGGCUUAACUUGGGAAUUGCGCUCGAAACUACGUGGCUAGAGUGUGGCAGAGGGAGGUGGAAUUCCGCGUGUAGCGGUGAAAUGCGUAGAGAUGUGGAGGAGCACCAAUGGCGAAGGCAGCCUCCCGGGCCAACACUGACACUCAUGCACGAAAGCGUGGGGAGCAAACAGG
RNAcentral lists this ribosomal RNA (253 nucleotides) under uncultured bacterium. Its description in RNAcentral is "partial 16S ribosomal RNA". It matches the Rfam family "Bacterial small subunit ribosomal RNA", at positions 524 to 776 of the family's 1533-position model. The record is from RNAcentral.